RNAcentral lists this transfer RNA (91 nucleotides) under Kiritimatiellia bacterium. RNAcentral's name for it is "Kiritimatiellae bacterium (gut metagenome) tRNA-Ser". It matches the Rfam family "tRNA". From Rfam's summary of the family: Transfer RNA (tRNA) molecules are approximately 80 nucleotides in length. Their secondary structure includes four short double-helical elements and three loops (D, anti-codon, and T loops). Lineage: Bacteria; Pseudomonadati; Kiritimatiellota; Kiritimatiellia. The record is from RNAcentral.
GGAGAGGUGUCCGAGUGGCCGAAGGUGCAGCACUGGAAAUGCUGUGUGCCCCAAAAGGGUACCGAGGGUUCAAAUCCCUCCCUCUCCGCCA